This 1474-nucleotide long non-coding RNA is filed under the name Carassius auratus (goldfish). RNAcentral's name for it is "lncRNA (ENSCARG00000029254.1)". Lineage: Eukaryota; Metazoa; Chordata; Actinopteri; Cypriniformes; Cyprinidae. The record is from RNAcentral.
AUGCUGUUCUUUUGAACUUUCUGUUCAUCAAAGAACAAUGAAGAAUAAAAUCUAACAUGGUUUUUACAAAAAAUAUGAAGCAGCACAUCUGUUUUCAAACUUUGAUGAUAAUUUGAUAAUGAUAAUGUUCAUGAUUUUCAUAUUUUCAUGAUUUCUGAAGAUCAUGUGACACUGAAGACUGGAGGAAUGAUGCUGAAAAUACACAGGAAUAAAUUAUAAUUUAAUAUGUUGCAAUAGAAAACAGUUAUUUUACAAUGGAAAAAUAUUUCACAAUUUUUACUGGAUGAGCACUUCUUUCAAAAAUAUUGAAAAAUCAUAUCAACCCCAAAUAUGAAGUAAAAAAAGAUUGAAAGAAAGUUUUUAAACAUGUCUACAUGUUAAUUUCUUAAUAGUGUUUAACCUUCAACACAGAGACGACAUAUUUACAAUUAAUUCCCAUCUCUUUUUGGGAAACUGUAGAUAUAUUUGUGUUUCAUUUUCCUGGGCUAUGGUGCAAAGACAAAAAUGUUGCAGAUUGUGCAAAAUAAGCGGUAAAGCAUGCAUGUGUUCACCGUGUUCGCACACAAUGAGAGGGAGCGAGAUGUGGGACGGAGAAUGUAGGUCACAUUCCUGAGCUGAAAGCUUUCCGAACCACACAAUCACAGCAGGAUUUCCAGCAUUUCACUGAAGGCCGUCAAACAAGAGCAUUUCCCCUGUGUUUCCCCCCAAACAGAGACCCCUGAUCAAAAGCCACCGCUGACCUCGCGGCUCAAUCGGCCUUUGUGUGGCUCACAGCUGAGAUUGACCCGUCUGCACCCAUGCUUGUGUUCAUUUGAGCUUGUAGACGCACACAAUGCAUUCAACACAAGAAAAUCAAAUCCAGAUUGGCUGAAUUUGACGUGGCUCCAGAGGGAGGAGAGGACGGAGAUAAGCCGUGACAGGAUUGUGCAGGGAAGGGAUGGUGGUUUAUUACACGGCUCUGGGGCGUGCAUUUCUGUGGCCGACGUGUCUGGACGCUUCGGCUGUGACUGAACACAAAAGAUUGGAAAAGAGAGAGAGAGAGAGAGAUCUGAGACAGUGAUGUCACUCAUUCCCGAUAGCGAUGGGGAUCAUGUGGAAUUUCGGUUUUGAUUCCUUAACAGUUUUAGUUUCUUAACAAAGCUCUUAGUACUUGACUGCUAUAUUUAAAGUGCACAGUUCAUCCUAAAAUUAAAAUUCUGUCAGCAUUUACCCACCACUCGUCAGUCCAGGCCGAGCUGUGAAUGUCAUGAGUUCAGUGAAUCAGUCAAGAGUGAAUCAUUUCACUGAUUCAAACUGAUUUUUGAUUAUUUUGAAUCAUUUGAUCAUGAAUCGCAUGAGUUUUUAUUGCUAACGAAAAUGAAAAUCUUUUAUUUUAACUGUUAUAACUGUAAAAAAUGUUAACUGUUUAAAAUUUGGUUGAAAUGAACUCAGAAAUUGCUAAUAGAUUUCACAAAUAAAGCAGUUAUUGAAGACU